This 203-nucleotide long non-coding RNA is filed under the name Elaeis guineensis (African oil palm). Its description in RNAcentral is "long non-coding RNA (EGUI_LNC069139)". Lineage: Eukaryota; Viridiplantae; Streptophyta; Magnoliopsida; Arecales; Arecaceae. The record is from RNAcentral.
CCAACCAGACCCCUCCAAUGGACAAAUUUUCUUCGGACCGCUCCAGUGGUCGACCUUCCACAGUGUCCUCCAGACUCCUUCAGCGGAUGAACUUUCACAACACCUUCCAAACUUUUCUAUCGAUCAACCUUCUAUAGUGCCUUUCGAAUUUCGCUAUCGGUUGACCUUCUGUCGGAUUUCUCAUGCAACCAGACCUCUCCAGC